Molecule: ribosomal RNA, 428 nt
Filed under: uncultured bacterium
Lineage: Bacteria
Description: bacterial SSU rRNA
Rfam family: Bacterial small subunit ribosomal RNA
Source: RNAcentral
UCGAGAAUUUUUCGCAAUGGGGGAAACCCUGACGGAGCGACGCCGCGUGGAGGAUGAAGGUCUUCGGAUUGUAAACUCCUGUCAUUUGAGAACAAGUGGUUGGGUGGUAACUCACCUGGCUUUGAUAGUAUCAGAAGAGGAAGAGGCGGCUAACUCUGUGCCAGCAGCCGCGGUAAUACAGAGGCCUCAAGCGUUGUUCGGAUUCAUUGGGCGUAAAGGGUGCGUAGGCGGUCGGGUAAGUCGGAUGUGAAAUCCUGGGGCUCAACCUCAGAACUGCAUUCGAUACUGCUUGGCUGGAGGAUUGGAGAGGAGAGUGGAAUUCACGGUGUAGCAGUGAAAUGCGUAGAGAUCGUGAGGAAGACCAACGGCGAAGGCAGCUCUCUGGACAAUUCCUGACGCUGAGGCACGAAGGCUAGGGGAGCAAACGG